Molecule: ribosomal RNA, 460 nt
Filed under: uncultured bacterium
Lineage: Bacteria
Description: partial 16S ribosomal RNA
Rfam family: Bacterial small subunit ribosomal RNA
Source: RNAcentral
CCUACGGGGGGCAGCAGUGAGGAAUAUUGGUCAAUGGGCGCGAGCCUGAACCAGCCAAGUAGCGUGAAGGAUGACUGCCCUACGGGUUGUAAACUUCUUUUAUAAAGGAAUAAAGUGUGGCACUUGUGCCUUUUUGCAUGUACUUUAUGAAUAAGGAUCGGCUAACGCCGUGCCAGCAGCCGCGGUAAUACGGGGGAUGCGAGUGUUAUCCGGAUUUAUUGGGUUUAAAGGGAGCGUCGAAGGGUUGUUGAGUCAGUUGUGAAAGUUUGCGGCACAACCGGGACAUUGAAAUUGAUAUUGGCAGGCUUGAGUAGAGUAGAGGUAGGCGGAAUUCGCGGUGUAGCGGUGAAAUGCGUAGAGAUCGCGAAGAACUCCGAUUGCGAAGGCGGCUUACUGGACUAACACUGACGUUGAGGCUCGAAAGCGUGGGUAUCAAACAGGAUUAGAUACCCUAGUAGUC